This 469-nucleotide ribosomal RNA is filed under the name uncultured bacterium. Its description in RNAcentral is "partial 16S ribosomal RNA". It matches the Rfam family "Bacterial small subunit ribosomal RNA", at positions 28 to 507 of the family's 1533-position model. The record is from RNAcentral.
GACGAACGCUGGCGGCGUGCUUAACACAUGCAAGUCGAACGGUGAAGCGAGUGCUUGCACUCGUGGAUCAGUGGCGAACGGGUGAGUAACACGUGAGUAACCUGCCCAUCACUCUGGGAUAAGCACUGGGAACGGUGUCUAAUACUGGAUACGACCAACCCUUGCAUGGGGUGUUGGUGGAAAGAUUUAUCGGUGAUGGAUGGACUCGCGGCCUAUCAGCUUGUUGGCGGGGUAAUGGCCCACCAAGGCGACGACGGGUAGCCGGCCUGAGAGGGUGACCGGCCACACUGGGACUGAGACACGGCCCAGACUCCUACGGGAGGCAGCAGUGGGGAAUAUUGCACAAUGGGCGAAAGCCUGAUGCAGCGACGCCGCGUGAGGGAUGACGGCCUUCGGGUUGUAAACCUCUUUCAGCAGGGAAGAAGCGAAAGUGACGGUACCUGCAGAAGAAGCACCGGCUAACUACGUG